Molecule: long non-coding RNA, 638 nt
Organism: Spinacia oleracea (spinach)
Lineage: Eukaryota; Viridiplantae; Streptophyta; Magnoliopsida; Caryophyllales; Amaranthaceae
Exons: 5
Source: RefSeq, a predicted model, not a curated record
GCAGCAACGAAAACUAUGAACAGUGUUAUUGCUGAGUUGUAGUCAUUGCUCUUGAUACUGAGCCGUUGGAGAUUCUUCUCCAUCUUCCUUUAUUGGUUGAAGAUAAGCCAUACCUUUUUAUCCAAGUCACACUGUUGUGAUACAAACUCAGUGAUUUGUUCGAGUUCUGAUGGUGUUUGUAUUAUGUUCCUGGGAGUAAUUUGAACAUCUCACAAAGGGUACAUUGGUGGUACAAGACUGAUAGUCAUGCAGGUGAACUAACAGCAGGGUUCUACAACCCAUGUAAUUGUGAUGGUCAUGCUGCAAUGAUGUCCAUGUUGAAGAAACAAGGAGCUGCUUUGACCUUCGCACCUGCAGGAGUGGACUUGUUGGAUCAUCUUGUGGAUUCUUCUGAACCCUUAUUGUUCUUGGAGGACUGGCUUGGCAAAAUGGGACUCGUCAUAACUUGGAAUGGAGCAGCCAAUAACAAAAAUAGUACCUGAGAAACAACGAACAAAAUCGUUCAUUCGAGAAUAUGCAUUGGAUCGUUUUGUUGGUCGUUUCGAAGGUAAUGAUAUUCUGGGUGUUGGUCGUGUAGGGGGUGUGCCAUGGGUUUUUUAAAAUUCCAAAUAGUUCGUGGGAGUUAUAUACUCUAACUU